CACGUAGGGCGCAAGCGUUGUCCGGAAUUAUUGGGCGUAAAGAGCUCGUAGGCGGUUUGUCGCGUCGAAUGUGAAAACCCGGGGCUCAACCCCGGGCCUGCAUUCGAUACGGGCAGGCUAGAGUUCGGUAGGGGGAGUCUGGAAUUCCUGGUGUAGCGGUGAAAUGCGCAGAUAUCAGGAGGAACACCGGUGGCGAAGGCGGGACUCUGGGCCGAUACUGACGCUGAGGAGCGAAAGCGUGGGGAGCAAACAGG
This 254-nucleotide ribosomal RNA is filed under the name uncultured bacterium. RNAcentral's name for it is "partial 16S ribosomal RNA". It matches the Rfam family "Bacterial small subunit ribosomal RNA", at positions 524 to 776 of the family's 1533-position model. The record is from RNAcentral.